GAUGAACGCUGGCGGCGUGCCUAAUACAUGCAAGUCGAGCGAACAGACGAGGAGCUUGCUCCUCUGACGUUAGCGGCGGACGGGUGAGUAACACGUGGAUAACCUACCUAUAAGACUGGGAUAACUUCGGGAAACCGGAGCUAAUACCGGAUAAUAUGUUGAACCGCAUGGUUCAACAGUGAAAGACGGUUUUGCUGUCACUUAUAGAUGGAUCCGCGCCGCAUUAGCUAGUUGGUAAGGUAACGGCUUACCAAGGCAACGAUGCGUAGCCGACCUGAGAGGGUGAUCGGCCACACUGGAACUGAGACACGGUCCAGACUCCUACGGGAGGCAGCAGUAGGGAAUCUUCCGCAAUGGGCGAAAGCCUGACGGAGCAACGCCGCGUGAGUGAAGAAGGUCUUCGGAUCGUAAAACUCUGUUAUUAGGGAAGAACAAAUGUGUAAGUAGCUAUGCACGUCUUGACGGUACCUAAUCAGAAAGCCACGGCUAACUACGUG
This 497-nucleotide ribosomal RNA is filed under the name uncultured bacterium. RNAcentral's name for it is "partial 16S ribosomal RNA". It matches the Rfam family "Bacterial small subunit ribosomal RNA", at positions 28 to 507 of the family's 1533-position model. The record is from RNAcentral.